This 827-nucleotide unclassified non-coding RNA is filed under the name Hevea brasiliensis (rubber tree). The record is from RNAcentral. Lineage: Eukaryota; Viridiplantae; Streptophyta; Magnoliopsida; Malpighiales; Euphorbiaceae.
CAUAAUAAACUAAGAAAACCCUAAUUUCAAGCCUCACCCCUCCAUCCUCUUACUUAAAGUAAAAUUGCCUUUGAUUUUGAUUAUUUUCUUUUAUUUUUUUUAUUAAUUUGAUUUGAAGCCGAUUAUACAGCCCUACCUAAAUCUAACCUUCGAUUUGGGUUUUGUAAUGAACAAAAGAAAAGGCUUCGCUUUGAAGACUCGAGCUUCACAAACGACAUAUCGUUCGACGUAGAAAUCUGCCUUUGCCAGGGUUCACCUAAGUCCAGGUGGUUCUGAUUUGCACCGAGUUCGGUUCAUGGAAAUUGCAAAUACAAAAAAUCUGUGCGAAGGUUCAGCACCCGUCUCAGAUUAUUAAUUUACAGUUAUCUUACUUUACCUUAGCUGCUGCAAUUCUCUGGCUCUGAUAAUGUGAAGAAGACAUCUAGACAGCGGAGAGAAGUUCUACCUGGGGAGCCUAAUGUGUUACAUGUGGUAUGGGGAGUAUAUGCUUCUGAUCAGACUAAUGAUGGCAAUUGUAGCUUAGAAUGCAAACAAAUCUUCUAUUGCUAAUUCCCAGGUUUCAGUUGGCCCUACACCUCCUCUAUGGUUAGUUGCGAAGCAUCAGUGCUUUUAUUUUAGAGACUCUGAUGAUAAAUCAAGACCCUUCUCUUUAACUAAUGAUCAAACUGAAUUACUGAGAAGGAAGCUUGAAAUCCAUGUGAAGGGGGAAAUGGUUCCAGAUUCCAUUUUGUCAUUCUCUUCUUUUAAUCUUCCUCAGAAGCUUCUGUAGAACAUAGAAGCUGCAAGAUAUGGCAUGCCUAUUGCUGUCCAGAUGCAAGCAAUCCCAA